UCCCCGCUGGCGUAAUGGCAUCGCGUCUGAUUCUGGAUCAGAAGACUCCUGGUUCGACCCCAGGGUGGGGAGC
Molecule: transfer RNA, 73 nt
Filed under: Microbacterium phage Hendrix
Lineage: Duplodnaviria; Heunggongvirae; Uroviricota; Caudoviricetes
Description: tRNA-Gln
Rfam family: tRNA
About the family: Transfer RNA (tRNA) molecules are approximately 80 nucleotides in length. Their secondary structure includes four short double-helical elements and three loops (D, anti-codon, and T loops).
Source: RNAcentral